UACGGGGGGGGCAAGCGUUGUUCGGAAUUACUGGGCGUAAAGGGCUGGUAGGCGGCCAACUAAGUCGGAUGUGAAAUCCCCAGGCUUAACCUGGGAACUGCAUCCGAUACUGGUCGGCUUGAAUCCGGGAGAGGGAUGCAGAAUUCCAGGUGUAGCGGUGAAAUGCGUAGAUAUCUGGAGGAAUACCGGUGGCGAAGGCGGCAUCCUGGACCGGCAUUGACGCUGAACAGCGAAAGCUAGGGGAGCAAACGGG
This 253-nucleotide ribosomal RNA is filed under the name uncultured bacterium. Its description in RNAcentral is "partial 16S ribosomal RNA". It matches the Rfam family "Bacterial small subunit ribosomal RNA", at positions 524 to 776 of the family's 1533-position model. The record is from RNAcentral.